RNAcentral lists this ribosomal RNA (402 nucleotides) under uncultured bacterium. RNAcentral's name for it is "bacterial SSU rRNA". It matches the Rfam family "Bacterial small subunit ribosomal RNA", at positions 355 to 745 of the family's 1533-position model. The record is from RNAcentral.
UCGAGAAUCUUUCGCAAUGCCCGAAAGGGUGACGAAGCGACGCCGCGUGUGGGAAGAAGGCCUUCGGGUUGUAAACCACUGUCGGGAGUUAGGAAAUGCAGGUGCGUUAAUAGCGCACUUGCUUGACUAAGGCUCCAGAGGAAGCCACGGCUAAUUCUGUGCCAGCAGCCGCGGUAAUACAGAGGCGGCAAGCGUUGUUCGGAAUUAUUGGGCGUAAAGAGCACGUAGGCGGCCUUGCAAGUCAGUUGUGAAAGCCUUCCGCUUAACGGAAGAACGGCAUCUGAUACUACAGGGCUUGAGUACGGGAGGGGAGAGUGGAACUUCGUGGUGGAGCGGUGAAAUGCGUAGAUAUCAGAAGGAACGCCGGCGGCGAAAGCGACUCUCUGGGUCCGAAACGUGACG